AUUGAACGCUGGCGGCAGGCCUAACACAUGCAAGUCGAGCGAGCGGCGGACGGGUGAGUAAUGUCUGGGAAACUGCCUGAUGGAGGGGGAUAACUACUGGAAACGGUAGCUAAUACCGCAUACCAUCAGAUGUGCCCAGAUGGGAUUAGCUAGUAGGUGGGGUAACGGCUCACCUAGGCGACGAUGCCUAGCUGGUCUGAGAGGCUGACCAGCACCACUGGAAAGUAAACACGGUCCAGACUCCGACGGGAGGAAGCAGUGGGGAAUAGUGCACAAUGGGGGCAAGCCUGAUGCAGCCAUGCCGCGUGUGUGAAGAAGGCCUUCGGGUUGUAAGGCACUUUCAGCGGGGAGGCGUUACCCGCAGAAGAAGCACCGGCUAACUCCGUGCCAGCAGCCGCGGUAAUUC
This 406-nucleotide ribosomal RNA is filed under the name uncultured bacterium. RNAcentral describes it as "partial 16S ribosomal RNA". It matches the Rfam family "Bacterial small subunit ribosomal RNA", at positions 29 to 526 of the family's 1533-position model. The record is from RNAcentral.